GCGAGGAGGAGGAGGAGGCGAAGGCGAGGACUUCAGCCGAAACUCCAAGGCGACUGCAGUUUGCCGGGGAUCCUGCGCGCGGAGGGCUGCCUCGUCGUCCCGGAGGCGGUGGAGCGGGGCUUCCAGGAUCGCUGGGCUUUCCCGAGGGCUAGUGGCGGUGGAGGGGGGUUUCUUUUUGGCUGGACCCUUCUUUCGCCCCUCGUCUUGUUUCCCCCUCCCUUCGGCGUGAAGAUGGACGUGUGAAGGGUUCGUUGCAAACGCCAACCUUGCCCGGGAGACUUCGCGGAAGGGCUAUAAUAGGAUUAUGACAGGAUGGCCCUCAGAAUGAGACACUGGUGAUGCAAAGGCAACAACCCAGGAGCUUCAGGCCAGCACUAACUUCAAGGUA
Molecule: non-coding RNA, 388 nt
Organism: Pogona vitticeps (central bearded dragon)
Lineage: Eukaryota; Metazoa; Chordata; Lepidosauria; Squamata; Agamidae
Source: RefSeq, a predicted model, not a curated record